Molecule: unclassified non-coding RNA, 206 nt
Filed under: soil metagenome
Description: partial contains 5.8S ribosomal RNA, internal transcribed spacer 2, and large subunit ribosomal RNA
Source: RNAcentral
AACAUCGCGCACCUGCGGGAACCUGCGGAAGGAUCGUUACCGAGUUUACAACUCCCAAACCCCUGUGAACAUACCUAUACGUUGCCUCGGCGGAUCAGCCCGCGCCCUGUAAAACGGGACGGCCCGCCCGAGGACCCUAAACUCUGUUUUUAGUGGAACUUCUGAGUAAAACAAACAAAUAAAUCAAAACUUUUAACAACGGAUCU